Molecule: ribosomal RNA, 758 nt
Filed under: uncultured prokaryote
Description: bacterial SSU rRNA
Rfam family: Bacterial small subunit ribosomal RNA
Source: RNAcentral
GGCCCCCUGGACAAAGACUGACGCUCAGGUGCGAAAGCGUGGGGAGCAAACGGGAUUAGAUANNNGGUAGUCCACGCUGUAAACGAUNUCGACUUGGAGGUUGUGCCCUNGAGGCGUGGCUUCCGGAGCUAACGCGUUAAGUCGACCGCCUGGGGAGUACGGCCGCAAGGUUAAAACUCAAAUGAAUUGACGGGGGCCCGCACAAGCGGUGGAGCAUGUGGUUUAAUUCGAUGCAACGCGAAGAACCUUACCUACUCUUGACAUCCACGGAACUUGCCAGAGAUGGCUUGGUGCCUUCGGGAACCGUGAGACAGGUGCUGCAUGGCUGUCGUCAGCUCGUGUUGUGAAAUGUUGGGUUAAGUCCCGCAACGAGCGCAACCCUUAUCCUUUGUUGCCAGCACUUCGGGUGGGAACUCAAAGGAGACUGCCGGUGAUAAACCGGAGGAAGGUGGGGAUGACGUCAAGUCAUCAUGGCCCUUACGAGUAGGGCUACACACGUGCUACAAUGGCGUAUACAAAGAGAAGCAAACUCGCGAGAGCCAGCGGACCUCAUAAAGUACGUCGUAGUCCGGAUUGGAGUCUGCAACUCGACUCCAUGAAGUCGGAAUCGCUAGUAAUCGUAGAUCAGAAUGCUACGGUGAAUACGUUCCCGGGCCUUGUACACACCGCCCGUCACACCAUGGGAGUGGGUUGCAAAAGAAGUAGGUAGCUUAACCUUCGGGAGGGCGCUUACCACUUUGUGAUUCAUGACUGGGGUG